AAUGCUAUAAGUACUUUCCAAUUUAAAUUUGUGUUAAGGGGAGAUUUGAUUUAGUAUUAUGAUUGUAUGUCCUACAAGGAGAUACUGUACCUCAUUUAAUUUUAUAAUUGUUUGACCUCAUUUUUUCUCUUUUGCGGGAUACUUUUUCAUUUAUGAUUAAUGGAGCCCUUCUUUCAAGGGAAGAAAUAAUGUUUUCUUAUCAGUAUACUCAAUAAAUCAAUUAAUAAGCUAUCAAAAAUUUUGGGAAAAAUGGAUACCCAAAGUUAGACGGAAAGAAUAUAAAUAAUCCAAAAGAAUAACAUAGAAUAUUUAUGUACCAUUUUUAAUAGUUCGGAUUAUAUUUAACCUUUUGUCGGAUAAAAGAAAAUGAUCGUGCAAAGAUCUUUGUGCACUGGCAUAUUUUAAUUUAGGGAAGAUGGUUAAAUAUUUUAAUCAUAUAUCCCGCCUAUUGUUAACUCCAUCGCUUAUAUGAAUUUUGUUAAUCAUGAUUGAUAUAUAAAGACAUGUCUAAAUUUUUAGCAUUCGAGAAAAAAAAGAAUAAAAUAAAAUGGAUAGAGCACAUUAAAAUAUCAAACACUAUCAUAUAGUGUUACUUUUCAUUCCAAAUGGUGUAUACAUCAUUUCAUUACCAACUCUUUCCUUGAUUACAACCCAUAACACAAUGCUUACAAGUCUUAAAGAACUUGUUGAUAACAAGCUAUAGAAAUAUUUGUGUCAUUACCAAUUUAUUUAGCUUAGGCAGCAAUUUUCUCAAAGCAAUCAUUACCAACCCCAUGUAUCCUUAAAUUUUAGUGGUCUUCUUAUAGGAUGUGGACGAGGAAAAGGAUGAGGACGAGGACGAUUUAGAUGGAGAAUGAGGAGGUGCUUGGAAUUUAGGGAUAUUGUACCCUUUAGGUGGGAGGGGUUUCUUAUAGGACGAGGGCGAGGACGGUUUAGAUGGAGAAAGGGGAGGUGCUUGGGAUUUAGGGACAUUGUAUCCCUUAGGUGGGAGGGUUUUCCUAUAAGACAAGGGUGAGGAUGAGGAUGAGAACGAGGACGAAAAUGAGGACGAUUUAGAUGCUUGGAAUUUAGGGAUAAAGAAUGUUGCGUUAGAUGGGAGGGUUGUAAGGAAUAGAGAAAUGGCAAGGGCUAGAAAAAUUUUGUUAUAAAAUGCCAUUGUCUUUCGUUUUAAUUUAAUAAUAGAAAGAAAGUUAAAAAGAAAGACAAUGGAAACAAGGAAUGAUGUGAAAUAUGGAGAUUCAUUGGGGUGUAUUUAUAUCCAAAAUGAGUUAUAGAUUUAUUGGCUAUGCUUAAAUAUAGAUUCUCAAGUGAAUAUUUAACCUUCAUUUGACAAUGUUUUGUUCAUUCAUUAAAGAAUGGUAGAUUUUCUUAGCCCCACAAACUCAGCCAUUCACACGAUAUUGAAUUAAAUUAAUUAAUGAUAUUCGUUAUUUUUUCAGUUUCAAAAUAAUUGACAUAUUAUUAAAAAUAUUUGUUUUAAAAUAGUUGGGAUAGUGCUAAAUGGCCACAAAAAUUUGGUCACAAUAAUAAAAAGACUAUACUUGGUCACAAUAAUAAAAAAACUAUUUUCGUGGUUUGACCACGGUCGCUUGGUGGAGCGUAUCGGCUAAUUUGACAUUAUGAAUAUAUAAACCACACAAAAUCACACAAAACAAUCAAUCAAACAAACAAACAAACAAAACAAAUCCAAAAUUAUAAUGUCCAGUCCGAUUAUUACAAUCCCGAAAUAGAAAAAUGCAAAAAUAUAAACCUACUCUAUUCUAUGCUAAUUCUAAACUACACUCCAUUACUUUCUCCACCCGACGUUUCGGGCCUUGAUCAUGCGUCAUCUUCAAGUACAUAGUACUUCGGGGCAUUCCCCGGAUAAAUCAAUACAAAUCUCUCGGGGGCAUUCCCCGGUCAAAUAAAUACAAUAGAUGUCAAUGCAUAAAUCAAAACCAUUCCACAAACAUUUCAUUAUUCAACAAUCACAAAUCCUAAACUUUUCCUACCCAACUUAUUGCUUGCCUAACUAUCCACGACCUAAAACAUGAUACUAUCAAACUUAACAAAGUCGACGUUCAUUCCAAAUCAGGCAAUCAUCGCUGAACCAACACAAAUCAACGUUCACUUUUAACAAUUUUCGAUCUUUUUCCUCAAAAUUCAACUUAACCCCAAAUCAACUACGUGAUUAAGAUACUUCACACCAGGAUUAACAAUCAGAUAACGACGAGUAAAAUCACUUCAACCAAAUUCAACCAAAAAUCACACCAUUCAAAAAUAUUCAUGAAAAAGAGAGAUAAGAGAUAUAGAAUUGGACCUGGAUUCAAAGGUUUCAAAAUUAUGACAGAAUCCGCGUCGAAGAAACUCGAUUCGAAACCUCCAUUCGAACCCCAACACCAGACCCACUCCAAACUUAGUGCUACCAAAAUUAAAACCCCGAACUGACCACGAUAACCCAAAAAGCUCACUAAAAUCCAACGAAAAAUCAAACACCCGCAGGGUUUGAACUCCGAUGAUUCGCCGAUGAUGCGGACGACCAGAACAACCAGUCGUCGGACGGAUUUCGUCCGGAAUUGAAGAACAACGGAGGGAGGUUUGACCGUUUUAUACGAACGACGAACAGAAGGGAUGAUUUCGGCGAAGCUACUGCCGGAUUAGUAACCCGAAAUCAACCCCUCUUCCUUCUUCAUUACGGAUCUCGACCUCUCUCACUCUAUUUCCCUCCCAUUCUCGAAUCUCUCUCUCUGUUUCUGUGUGUGAGUGUGUGUGGAAUUGUUUGGUGCUUAAUUAUUUCGGUGAGGGUCCUCUCUAAAUUAGUUACUGUGUGUGUAUCUUUGAAUUUCCAGUGAGUUUCUGAGUUUCCCUGAUUUUUGUGAGUGUGUAUGUACAUAUGCUGUGGGUAUAUGAGGAUACACAAAUGGAGAAAUCCGAUGGUGUCUUUUAAAAGGAAAAAAAUGUGAUAGAGGAGGUGUUGAUGGCGUUCUCAGUGAGGAAGAAAAGAGGGGGGGGGGGGGAAAUAAAGUCUGUGUAUGUCGUGAGUGUCCCCCGUCCUAUGCGUGCACUGUGUUUGUAUAUAUAUUCUCAUCCUUUCGUGUCAAGAAGAAAUGUGAUAUGUAUAUAUGGUCCUCUUUUAAAAAUGGAGAAAAUGGUCCUUUUUUGUCCCUUUCAUGGAAGUUUCCUAGUGGGGCCUUUUUUUAAUGUUUAUCCCUUUUUGCCUUUGUGGACAAGAAAUAUGAGGGAGAGAGGGUCACGUGGGUAUGGGGUGUUGGUGGUAGGGGUAUGGGGAAUGUGUCUUAUUUUAAUUGAAAGGGUUGUUAGGAUGUUAAAAAGAAUAAAAGUUUGUUAGGGAUUUUGUUGAGAGUUAUUUUUUUGUAUUUUUAUGGGAUGUAAUUACAUGGGCAGGAUAAGGUAAAAAUGGGUAAAACGAUAUCGGGGAGGGAAGAAAUUACGUGUCCACAUCAUGCCCCCUUUGAAUGUAAACACGCAACGAGACCGAAUUUUGUCUCAAUCAUUAUUCAAAGGAAGGAGUAAAAGAAAGAAGGACAAUCGAAUCCUGUCGGACACCCUAUCUACCCAAGUCAUGAGGAAGUCACAAGUAUCUCAAAGGGUUGGAAGAGAAGUGGACUAUACCGAGUUGGAGAGUCGAGUGAGGUUCCAUCGAGGUUCCGGUCCGCGGCUCUGUCAUUACAUCAAAAANNNNNNNNNNNNNNNNNNNNNNNNNNNNNNNNNNNNNNNNNNNNNNNNNNNNNNNNNNNNNNNNNNNNNNNNNNNNNNNNNNNNNNNNNNNNNNNNNNNNNNNNNNNNNNNNNNNNNNNNNNNNNNNNNNNNUGUUCUUCAGGCGGGCUCCUGACUUGCUAUUUCAUCACCCUGUUCUUCAGGCGGGCCCCUGAAACCCAAAAUUAAAACUAGAACGAAAAUUAUCCCAAACAAAAAUUAUAGUAAAGUAGUAUUUCAUUUUUGAAAGCGUUAUCCCAUUUUUCAGGAGGGUCCUGAACAUAAAGUAAAAUCCUAUUCUUUCAGGAGGGUCCUGAACAGAAAGUAAAAUCCCAUUUUUCAGAAGGGUCCUGAACAGAAGGUAAAGUUCCAUUUUUCAAGAGGGUCCUGAACUGAAAGUAAAUUCCCAUUCUUCAGGAGGGUCCUGAGCAUAAAAUAGAAUCCCAUUUUUCAGGAGGGUCAUGAACAUAAGGUAAAAUCCCAUUUUUCAGGAGGGUCCUGAACAUAAAGUAACAUCCCAUUUUCCAGGAGGGUCUUGAACAUAAAGUGAAAUCCCAUUUUUCAGGAGGGUCCUGAACAGAAGGUAAAAUCUCAUUUUUCAGGAGGGUCCUGAACAAAAGUGAAGUCCCAUUUUUCAGGAGGGUCCUGAAAUCACAUCAAAACUAAAAAGAAAAUUAUCCCAAACAAAUAUUAUUAUAAAGAGGUUUUAUUUGCCAGAAAAGUAAAGUUUCAAAAAUAGAAAUUGAAUUUUUGUCCCAGUUUAUCAUCAGAAGACUUUUGGAAAAGUCACACAAUACCUACUUGCAUGUUACAAUGAUGAAUCAAGACUCUGACUAUGAAAUGCAUCUCUUAAGAGUAAAAUUAAAUAACUAAGACUAGGAAGUGCAUCUCCUAAUAAUUAAAGCGAGGGAUUGUAACUAGAAAGUGCAUCUUCUAGAGAUACAAGUUUAAGUUAAAAGUGUGUCACUUGACAAAUGAAAACUAGCAAGGAAGUGCGUCUCCUGAGGAUUAAGUGCAAUAACUCGACUAGAAAGUGCGUUUUUCUAGAAAUCAAGACUCAAGUUAGGAAGUGCAUCACCUAAAAAUCAAAAUUCGAAAUACCCAAUCAAGAAAGUGCAUCUCCUUACCAAUGUUGCUUGAAUUAUCAAAACAAGGAAGUGCAUCUCCUUACCAAUGCCACUUGAAUUACUCAAACAAGGAAGUGCGUCUCCUCACAAAUGCUUCUUGAAUUAACCAAACAAGGAAGUGCAUCUCCUUAGAAAUGUUUUCGUGAAUUAACCAAACAAGAAAGUGUUUCUCCUUACAAAUGUUGCUCGAAUUGCCAUAACAAGGAAGUGCGUCUCCUUACAAAUGUUGCUUGAAUUAACCAAACAAGGAAGUGCAUCUCCUUACCAACACUGCUUGAAUUACCAAAAUAAGGAAGUGCGUCUCCUAACAAAUUUUGCUUGAAUUAAUCAAUCAAGGAAGUGCGUCUCCUUGCAAAUAUCGAUCGAAUUACCAAAUAAGGAAGUGCGUCUCCUAAAAAAUGUCUCUUGAAUUACUCAAACAAGGUAGUGCGUUUCCUCACAAAUGUUUCUUGAAUUAACCAAAUAAAGGAAGUGCAUCUCCUAACAAUAUUGCUUGAAUUGUCCAAACAAGGAAGUGCUUCUCCAUACAUCGCUUGGAUUACAAAAAAAAGGAAGUGCGUCUCCUAAUAAAUGUCUCUUGAAUUGCUCUAACAAGAAAGUGCAUCUCCUUACGAAUGUUGUUUGAAUUACCCAACCAAGGAAGUGCAUCUCCUUACAAGAAAUCCUGUCUCCUCGAAAUCUUGAAUUAUGAGUUUUACCAUGGCUUUGAAUACCAAAUAUGUGCAGAAAUAUUGUCUCCUUCAUUUGUGUAAGUGCGGUAUUGCAACUUUCGAUAUUUAGGCUUUGAAAUCCUUGAUUCGAAGGUAACAUUUGUUCCUGUUUCAUAUAAAGAAAAUUUGUUAGUUUAAAAAUAAGGUGGCUGGUUUGCGGCUUUGGCUUUCGUGGAAAUCGCUCUUGCCCCAGUCGCAUUUAAUCUUGCUUUUAACCAUUAGCAUGUGUCACUGGCUUGCUGUAUCAUUGACCUGAACUCAGAUUAUUAAGAGAGACUCUGAAACAAAUACAGUAUCCUUGAUUUGUCAUGCUUCUCAGAUAAACCCUUUGAACAUUGGUAUUUCCAUGAAUUCCCAGACUUGUCGGAUGACAAAAUUGUCUGCAUGCCUUGUUUUGGCUCACAAUCAUGUCUCUUUCAUGUGCUGGCCUUUUGUUUUGCUUUCUGCAAUUGAAGAAGCUGGUAGCCAGUUUUGAAAUCUUUUCUCACUUGUUUCGACAUAGACUUGAAUCAACAACAAGAGAAAAAUGACAAUGACUUUUAUUUGGAUAACUGACUCAAGAAAGAUAAACAAAAUAAAGAGAAGAAAGAAAAGAUAAUGAAUGUCCCAACUGAAACAAAGAAAUAAAAAUUUAUCUAAAAAUGACAAUCAACUCCAAAGAUUAUGCCAUGCAUUUUGGGUCAGGCUGCCUUAUCUUUCCAUCCAAAUUUUCUACCAAUUGUUGUUGAGUUAAUGGCCUUGAAACUGAGUUGUUUCCUUAGGUCAAUUGCAUUUAAGACCUCGUUCGGCUAGUGGCGCCUUGGAGGGUUUUUUUUCAACAAGCCUUUCUCAUUUUUUCUAGCUCACCAUUGCCUUAUGGUGUUCAUGAGGGUUUUUCACCAAUGAGACUCUCUUAUUUUCAUUUGUUCAACUCACUAUUGUCUUACCAUGCCCGUAAGAGUUUUCACCGAUAAGACUCUCUCAUUGUUAUCUCCCUCAUCUUACCAUCGUCUUACGAUGUCCGUGAGGGUUUUCACCUAUAAGACUUCUCAUUUUCAUUUCUCUCCUGAUUCCUUAUGCUAAGGAAUACAAGUAGUUCCCAAAAUGCAUCAUCACAUCCAUUGCAUGCUUAGCCUUAACAUUCUCAAAGAUUGAUCUGAAGGUCUUUCUUUGAUUGUAACUUGGCUUUUGGAUAGGGUUAGAAAGAAAGGAUGACAUGAUGCCCAAACGACACUUGAAGUGGCUUAGGACUUACAACUUUUGGAAUCGACUCAAACAAAUGAGGAUUAACUCAUGCCCCAGUUUCUUUUGACUGGAUGAUUCUAAAUUAUUUAUUUGGUUAGACUGAGCCCUUAGUAGGGCAGCCUACGUAUCUCACCCCCGAGAGAGGAGAAUCAGGUCAUGCGUAGUUCUGGAAGCUUAUUCUUUCACUUGAUUCUAAUUUUUUUUCUUUUGUUGACUCUUUUCUCUUUGGAUUUUUCAAAUUCUAUUUGUCUUGACACUUUUUUCUUUUUAGACAUAUUUUUUUUUCUUCUCUUUUUUUUUUUGAACUUUUUCUGAAUCUAUUAUUUUGCUCGACACUUUUCUUUUGAGCUUUGCUGACUAUAUUGAUUCCAAAAGAGGGGUAUGAAAUAAAAUAGGACUAAAGCUCAAAUGGGGUAAACAAAGGAUGACACGAUGUUUGGAUAGCAGAAUGAAAUGUCUUCGUCAUAUCAAUCCUUGAAAAUGCAAGUACAUAUCAUGUAAUAUGAAAGUGAGAGAUGAAGAUCAUUUGCGACAUCUUUUUAAGCAGAUUAAGUUUGUGCGUCAUUACUCUUGCACUUUGUUCAACAUAUCACUCCACUUUUGUUGUACAAUCCUCACAUCGAAUGACUUAUGCUUUCGUGGAGUUGAUUUUUCUGUCCCUCGGUAUCACACACCCGCUAUUUGAUCUAAUUGAGCCAUGUUUUUCAAUUGAUGAUCAAGUUAUUCUUGUGAUUCUCAAAAUAAUUGCCUUAACUUGUCACCAAAUGUCUUAACACUCUAUCUAUUUUCUCAUAUGCUCUCUUUUUCUAACUUUAACCCUUUUAUUCAAUGUUCAUGCUUAAACUGGAUUUUAAUAUCUGGCUGAAAAUUUCACUAGCAUGUCAUAUCACUAGAGUCAACACAAAAUGUACUAUGUAAAGAAAACAAACAAACAACACAUAUUUAAAACACAAAGGAAAAUGAGACACUUCAUUCAGUCGAAACAAAAGAUAGAAGAGCUUGAACAUAAGCAACCAAAGACAAAACAAGACAGAUCCUGAACUACAACCCUGAAAUAAUUCGGAGAACAGAAAAUAAAACAAAACAAGCUUCCAAACCUCUUUCUAGUAGGGAGAGGGGUGGAUUCUCAAUUGCUCGGCCUGACAUCUUAGCCACUAGUUUGUAUAUCAGCAUGACUAGAGUUUUCCUCACCGUCAAUGUUCGGCACCAUAAUCAAUUUGUCUUGAAUCAUCUUUUUAAUUUCUCUUUUUAAAGCACGACAAUCUUUAAUACUGUGACCCUGAACAUCAGAAUGAUAUGCACAUCUUACAUUAGGAUCAAAACUUCUUGAAUUCGGGUCAAGAGUAUACCCAAGGAGAGGAGUGAUCAUGCCUCGCAGUGCCAAUCUUUGAAAUAAACUGACAUACAACUCUCUAAUUAGUGUGAAACUAUCCCUCAAUUUUUGCCUUAUUUCAUUAUUUAACUUGGAUCGAACAUCGGGCCUAGAAGGGCUUUGGUAUGUUUGUGGAAUUGGAGGAUGACUUUGAAGAUUUGGUGCGCGCCAUUGUGGGUAAGGAAGGAGUUGAACAUAUGGUUGUGCGCAAUAUACUAGAUAUAGAGGUCGGGAAAUAGAGUAUAUUGGAUUUUGAGAGUGAUUGUGGAGAGCUUGGGUAUGAACUUGGGCUUGAGACUGACGGCAACGACGACGUCGUCUUCUUGGAUGUGCCCGUUCUCCAACUACAAUAGCAGUGUCAUCUUUCUCAUUCUUCUUCCCUCCAAGUUCCCUCAAUUGAUUGCAGUAUUGUCCCAAAUGUUUCACGAAUUUCUCAUGCCCAUCUUGCUCCUCAAAUUUUGACAUCUCAAAGAUUGGAGGAAGGUCAGCACUUGAAGGCAUGCCCCAAUCUUUGUAUAAAACAUCUUUUUUACCCGUAGGUCCUAGAGAAUUUUUCAUAGCAUUUUCUGCACUCUUCAUUUUUUCAACCAUUUUCUCCGACUCUUCUGGCACACUGGAUUUCUUGUUAAGAAAUUUUGGUGGUUCAGUUAACUUAAAAACAGGCUCAGGAGUAUAACAAUGAUCAACCAAAGUAUUGAAUAUAAGUUCACUAGCAGCAUGGGGAUGCACAACCAUUGGACGAGACAGUGUGGAAGUCCCAGUAGAGGAUUGAGCAACAAGAUCGUAGACGACAUGUGGUGUUGUGAAUGUAGUAGGCUUAUGCUGAGGAGCUAGAGGAAAAGUGGUGGAAGUAUUGAGAUGAUUUUGGCUAGGAAUGAAUUCUGAGUCAUGUUGCGGUGCAUCAACAACAGUAAAAAAUUGACUUUGAGAUUUUGGUGAAAAACUCAAGGUAUUUGUAGGAUCAAUAAAGGGAAAUGGAGGAGGAAGCAACCCACUGGCCCAAGCUCGAUACAUUUCUAUCAUUUGUUGUCUUAGCCUCCUAAUCUCUUGCUUCAAACUCUCAUUUUCCUGAUUCUUUGUUUGAUCCAUGAUGUCACUCUCUAUAUAUUGGUUGGACACAACUAACCCUUUGGAUUUGGUGUGAUGUGAAGGAUCAGCCAGAAUGCCACAAACCAACCACCUUAAACUGACUCAAUAAAAAAACACAUGUGUUGGAGUUCAACACUUUUUCAAAACCUUUUUUUCCUUCUUUUUUUUUUUAAAAGAUCACCAAACCCAACAAGGGCGCCUACGUAUCUCACUCUUGAGAGAGGAGAAUCAGGUGUGCGUAGUUCGUGAAGUCUUGCCAAAAUAGCCAAUUAAACUCUUUUUCCUUUUCUUCUUUUACUCUUUUUUUUAAACUUUAAGAUGAGAAAAUAGCAAAUUAUCAAAAGAAUUGACGAAAAUCUUUUUGAAUUUUUCAACUUUAACAUCUCUAUAUAAUAUGAAACCUACGUUUACCAAAGAAAAAUCUUUUUGAAUUUUCGAUUUUGAAUUUCAUAUGAAAGUGAAACUUGAAACUAUAAAAGAAAAAUCUUUUUGUAGUUUUUCUCUUAAAGAUGUAUAUGAAACACCUACUCUAAAUGAAGAGUGAAUAAAUUUUUUUUGUUUGAAAUAAAAUCCCCAAACCAACAAUAGGUUGCCUACGUAUCUCACUCUCGAGAGAGGAGAAUCAGGGGUGCGUAGUUCGUCCAAAUUGGACAAAUAAAGAUUAACUAACAGACUGACCCUAACUUAAGAGACACAACCAAAGACCGAUGAAUAAUAAAAGAAAUAAAAAAAAUUGGGUUUUUAAUUUGACAUCAACAACUAUGAAAGAAAAAUAUUUUUUAAAAAAAAUUUUGAAUUAUGAAUGCGUGGUAAAGGAAUAAAAGUAUUUUUUUUUGAUAUUUUCGUUAUAUGAAAUGUACAAAACUUCUACCAUUUUUUUUUUUUUUGCAUUUCCCUUUAUAAAACCUCCUAUUGUAAAAAAAAUCUUUUUUUGAAAUUUUUGAAUUGAGAAAAACAAAAGACAUACAGAACUCUAAAAAUUACAAAACUCUUUUUUGGACUUUUUUUUUUCACACACUUUACUUCUAACACAUGCUUUACCCCACAUCAGUCGGGCAAAUGACCACAUUAUUCUCAAAGAUGCAGCAUUUAGCACGUAGGGAUGUUUUAGGGGUGAGUUUCCUACAAAGAACCGUGUGGGCCCCGCUAGAUCUCAAUAUAAUGCACAUAAGAAUGUCCUAUAGGCUGACCUACGUUGUGGUUUACUAACAAGGCUGUUCGGGGGAGCGUAUGGUCAAUAGUGGCUGCUUUGCUUUCUCCCUACUCCAUACAUCCAACGGCUCCCCCCCUAAAAUAAAGGUGACUCAACUAGAGUUCGUGUGCACGACGUGCGCUCCGAGACUUGUUGCGAAAAGAAUGACUAGGGUUAUGCACAUGAUUUCAGAUAUAAAAGCGGUAAACACAUAGGAUAAAUAUUGUAAACAAAGAGCACAAAAACGCACAAAAGUGAAAACACAAAUAAAAAUCACAAACAAUGUUUAUACACUCGUAAUGUCAAACAAAGCGGAUAAGACUACAAAAAAAAAGCUUGAAUUCUGAAAUAGUCCCCAGCAGAGUCACCAGAGCUGUCACACCCCUUUUUUUACCCAAAGAUUAGAUUUUAUGGUUUCAAAAGGGUUUCAUUAUUAAGUGACAAAAUGUGAAAAUUUUUUCCGAAAAAAAAGAUUAUUCUUACUUUCAAAACUCAGAGUCGCCACUUGGCAUAAAUCGGGUGUGACAAGUCACCUUUGGAAAUCCUUUUUCAAAACGGUUUUGACUCUAAAACUGAUCCGCGAACAGAGAUUCCAGCUAAGGAAUUCUGUUGACCGAGGGGAAGGUGUUAGGCAUCCCUCGAUUCCAUGGUUUGACUACGGUCGCUUGGUGGAGCGUAUUGGCUAAUUUGACAUUAUGAAUAUAAACCACACAAAAUCACACAAAACAAUCAAUCAAUCAAACAAACAAACAAACAAAACAAAUCCAAAAUUAUAAUUUCCAGUCCGAUUAUUACAAUUCCGAAAUAGAAAAAUGUGAAAAUAUAAACCUACUCUAUUCUAUAUUAAUUCUAAACUACAUUCCAUUGCUUUCUCCACCCGACGUUUUGGCCCUUGAUUGUGCGUCAUCUUCAAGUACAUGGUACUUCGGGGCAUUCCCCGGAUAAAUCACUAUAAAUCUCUCGGGGGCAUUCUCCGGCCAAAUAAAUACAAUAGAUGUCAAUGCAUAAAUCAAAACCAUUCCACAAACAUUUCAUUAUUAAACAAUCACAAAUCCUAAACUUUUCCUACCUAACUUAUUGCUUGCCUAACGAUCCACAGCCUAAAACAUGAUACUAUCAAACUUAACAAAGUCGACGUUCAUUCCAAAUCAGGCAAUCAUCGCUGAACCAACACAAAUCAACGUUCACUUUUAACAAUUUUCGAUCUUUUUCCCCAAAUCAACUACGUGAUUAACAUAUUUCACAUCAGGAUUAACAAUCAGAUAACGACGAGUAAAAUCACUUCAACCAAAUUCAAUCAAAAAUCACACCAUUCAAAAAUAUUCAUGAAAAAGAGAGAUAAGAGAUAUAGAAUUGGACCUCGACCUCCAUUCGAACCCCAACAGCAGACCCACUCCAAACUCGGUAUUACCAAAAUUAAAACCCUGAACUGACCACGAUGACCCAAAAAGCUCGCUAAAAUCCAAUGGAAAAUCAAACACCCGCAGGGUUCGAACUCCGAUGAGUCGCCGGUGAUGCGGACGAACAGAACAACCAGUUGUCGGAUGGAUUUAGUUCGGAAUCGAAGAACAACGGAGGAAAGUUUGACCGUUUUAUACGAACGACGAACGGAAGGGAUGAUUCCGGCAAAGCUACUGCCAAAACAGUAACCCGAAAUCAACCCCUCUUCCUUCUUCAUUACGGAUCUCGACCUCUCUCACUCUAUCUCCCUCCCAUUCUCGAAUUUCUCUCUCUCUAUUUCUGUGUGUGAGUGUGUGUGGAAUUGUUCGGUGCUUGAUUAUUUCGGUGAGGGUCCUCUCUAAAUUGGUUACUGUGUGUGUAUCUUCGAAUUUCCAGUGAGUUUCUGAGUUCCCCCGAUUUCUGUGAGUUUGUAUGUAUAUAUGUUGUGGGUAUAUGAGGAUGCACAAAUGGAUAAAUCCGACGGUGUCUUUUAAAGGAAAAAAACGUGAUAGAGGAGGUGUUGAUGGCGUUCUCGGUGAGGAAGAAAAAGGGGGGGGGGGGAAUGGAGUCUGUGUAUGUCGUGAGUGUCCCCCGUCCUAUGCGUGCACUGUGUGUGUAUAUAUAAUCGCAUCCUUUCUUGUCAAGAAGAAAUGUGAUAUGUAUAUAUGGUCCUCUUUUAAAAAUGGAGAAAAUGGUCCUUUUUUGUCCAUUUCAUGGAAGUUUCCUAGUGGGGCCCUUUUUUAAUGUUUAUCCCUUUUUGCCUUUGUGGACAAGAAAUAUGAGGGAGAGAAGGUCGCGUGGGUAUAGGGUGUUGGUGGUAGGGGUAUGGGGAAUGUGUCUUAUUUUAAUUGAAAGGGUUGUUAGGAUGUUAAAAAGAAUAAAAGUUUGUUAGGGAUUUUGUUGAGAGUUAUUUUUUUGUAUUUUUAUGGGAUGUAAUUACAUGGGUAGGAUAACCUAAAAAAUGGGUAAAACGAUAUCGGGGAGGGACGAAAUUACCUGUCUACAAUUACCUUUUUUUCUUUUAAAUAGACAAAGUUAUUUAAUUUUUAAAGUAAAAGAGUAAAAAUGUCCAAAAGUUAACUAGUUCAUACUGUGAACAUAACUUUUUUCUAUUGUGGCCAAAAAAUUAUGGUCAAAAGAACUUUUCCGGUGGAUAAUGCUAAAUGGCCACAAAAAUUUGGCCACAAUAAUAAAAAGACUAUAUUACCUUUUUUCUUUCAAAUAGACAAAGUUAUUUAAUUUUUAAAGUAAAAGGGUAAAAAUGUCCAAAAGUUAACUAGUUCAUAAUGUGAACAUAACUUUUUUCUAUUGUGGCCAAAGGAUAGUGUGCUAAAUGGCCACAAAAAUUUGGCCCAAAUUUGGCCACAAUAAUAAAAAGACUAUAUUACCUUUUUUCUUUCAAAGACAAAGUUAUUUAAUUUUUAAAGUAAAAGGGUAAAAAUAUCCAAAAGUUAACUAGUUCAUAAUGUGAACAUAACUUUUUUCUAUUGUGGCCAAAAAAUUGAGGCUAAAGAAUAGUGUGCUAAAUGGCCACAAAAAUUUGGCCCAAAUUUGGCCACAAUAAUAAAAAGACUAUAUUACCUUUUUUCUUUCAAAGACAAAGUUAUUUAAUUUUUAAAGUAAAAGGGUAAAAAUAUCCAAAAGUUAACUAGUUCAUAAUGUGAACAUAACUUUUUUCUAUUGUGGCCAAAAAAUUGAGGCUAAAGAAUAGUGUGCUAAAUGGCCACAAAAAUUUGGCCCAAAUUUGGCCACAAUAAUAAAAGGAAUAUAUUACCCUUUGUUUUCAAAUAGACAAAGUUAUUUAAUUUUCAAAGUAAAAAGGUAAAAAUAUCCAAAAGGUUAAUAUAGAAUGAAGAGUAAGAAUAAUUACUCUUAACAUUAAUUAUUCUAGAAUGAAGAGGCAUGUUCCUUUUGAGUUACUCCCCCGUUUCAUUUUAGUUGGGCUUCUUUCUAAAAAUAUUUGUUUCAAUUUAGUUAUUCCAUUAAUGAAAUUAAGAGGAUUUUAAUAUGUUUUUUCAAUAAUAUCCUUAUCAUUAAAUGACUAAACAAAUUAUAUAUAUCCAAAUUUAUAUUUUCAAAGCAUAAAUAAUAAGGCUAAUUUCGUAAAAUAGAUUCCUAAUAAAUGUUUUUCUUAAUGGGUGUAACAAGUCUGUAGGGGCCAACUAAUAUGAAAUGGAGGGAGUAUGAUUUUAUUCCUAAAUAAGUAUAUGUUUAUAUCUUGAAGAAUACUUUGACAAUAAUCUUCCAAAUAUGUUUUUGAGUUCAAAUAUAAUAAUCAAUGUUAACAAGAAAAGAGAUGAAAUUUAAUUAGGGGUAAGUUGGUAAUGUUACAGUCAAUUUUCUAUGAGUAAAUAACUUAUUAAAGUACAUGCUCAAGUAGCACUUAUUUAGGAAUAGAGAGAGUAAAGAUUAAAGAAUUAAUAAGGGAUAUAUAAGUCAAAUCAUACUCCUAAUUAUUUUUCUUUAAGAAUUGUGCAAAAUCUAAACCUUUCAACUAUUUUGAGAUGAAUACAGUAUAUGCAAGGUGUAUACUCCCUCUAUUCUCUUCUAAUUGUCACUAUUUUUAUAAUUAGAUUUCUAUUUUUACUUGUCACUUUUGACAUCUCAAGAAAAGACAAAAUAUUUUUUUCUAUUUUACUCUUAACAUUAGUUAUUUAUUCUUCAAAUCAUUUUCAAGGCAUAAUACUCUAAACAUCAAUUAAUAGAGUUAGUAUGGUAAAGUAGUCAUAUCAAUAGUUGUUUUUUUAAUGGAAUUUUCAUGUCAAAUAAUGACAGGUAAAAAUGAACGAAAGAAGUAUAAGCUUAAUCAGAAGUGGAUUCAGGAUUUUGAGAUUUCGGAUGUCAUACUUUUUAUGACUUGAUCUAUUUUGAGCUUUGAUUUAGAUAAUUGCCUUUUUGGUUUAUAUAGACAAUUAAAUAACUAUAGUAAUUUUAAACAAAGGCAUAAAAGAUCGUGAGGGUUUGGCUUUGAUGCUAUGUGAUGAACAUGUGAUUUUGACGAUUGACAAAACUCGUGAGUGAAUCUGGUCCUCACCAGAUAUGCUGCCUCUACAAUUUAUUUUAUUUUUCAGAGUCAACUGUGUGAGAACCUGGUCCUUAGAGGAAUCCUGUUUUGUAGGGAUUGGGUUCAUAUUAUGUACUCAUAACCUUGUUAACCGAUAAACUUCUGAAAGAGAUUUCUACUGAUUCAACAUUUGUAUUUUAGGUGAUAUGGGGACAUAGAAGUACUGAUCUGAUAUAUGAAACUCGUGCUCUUAAGUCUUAAUGAUUGACAAACUGCAUGUAAGGACUUGAUCCCUAAAGGACGUAAGUAUGUGGUCAACUGUACAGCUGAAAAGUCUUGUCCUACAACUGUAUUGACAGCAUUUGCAGGUGGUUAGUGGCAUAACAAAAGCUUUUUAAUCUCGACCAAUGAGAAAUAUUCUAGGUUUUUCCUCCCAUUUGCUUCAUAUAUAUAGAUCAUUAUGUGAGAGGAAAACCUAACAUUAAAGUUCCAUCAAGACAAAGAUCCAACAACCAAAGGACCAGUUUGCUACAACAGAAUAUGUCUUUAGGUCUAAGUUGUUGAGUUUUUGUAUUUUGCUCUAACAUUGUAAACCUACUCCUAUUCUGAGGAGCUUGUGUAGGUAUUUUAUUUUAUCUCUUCUCUUGUAUAUCUAAGUUGUGGGCUAAAGUUAACCUUGUAGUGUUGGGGGCUAAAGAAGUCGUGGUAGUACCGGUGUGGGCUAGAGGUAGCCUUAGUUGUCUUUACAAUAGAGUUAUUGUAGAGAGUGCUUACAAUAGAGUUGUUGUCAGGGUGAGGGAUUAAGAAUUUAAUUCCUAGGUUGCAAGAUGUUGUAAUCCAAAAGUUGCUCUUGUUUUAGUGAAGUGGUUGAAAAAUUUUACUAGGGUAGGUCAUGAUUUUACUCCCUUAAGUAAGGAGGUUUCCACGUAAUACAUCUUGUCUUCUUUACUUUUGUUCUUCAACUUUUGUUCUUAGUUAAUGAACCUAGUGAGGGACCAGGUUUUCAUUACUAUGGUGAACUCAUAUAGAACCUUUUUUGUUAGCUAAAAAAAAUGAUAAGGGACCUGGUUUCUAAUAUUGUGGUAGUGGACGCACGCAAGUCAUCACUAUGUAAAGAAAUGAAUUUGAGGUUAACUCAACCUCAAAAGCUAGCAUAAGAGGUGACUAUUGUCCAUGACCAUUUAAAGAGCAAAUUUGCCUUCUACCCACCUAUAUGAAACUCAACAUCUUUAGCAAAUUUAAAGGAUCAAAAUUACUCAGGAGUAUAAUAUUUAAGGGAUUAAUUUGAAGUUUAAACCUACCUAAAUAUAAGAUUACUUUUAUUACUUUCUGUUAUUGCUUCUACAAAUGACCCAAAAGUAUAACAGAGGGUAUUUACGUAUUAUUUUUAAUAGUUUAGGAUAUAUAUAAUCUUUUUCGAAUAAAAGAAAAUGAUGAUGCAAAGAUCUUUUGUGUACUGAGAUAUUUUAAUUUACGGAAGAUGGUCAAAUAUUUUAAUCAAACAUCCAGUGUAUUAUUAACUUCAUCGCGUAUCUGAAUUUUGCUAAUCAUGAUUGAUAUAAAAACAUGUCUAACUUUCUCGCAUUCAAGAAAAAUAUAAGUAAUAAAAUAAAAUGCAAAAUAGCACAUUAAAAUAUCAAACACUAUCAUAUAGUGUUGCUUCAUUCCAAAUGGUGUAGGUUACAAGAUUUCAUCGCCAAAUCUUUUCCAUGAUUACAACCCAAAUUACAAUGCUUACAAGUAUUAAAGAACUUGUUGAUAACAAGUUGUUGAAAUAUUUGUGUCAGUUACCACCAAUUUAUUUGCUAUGGGUAGCAAUUUUCUCAAGGCAAUCACUACCAACCCCAUGUAUCCAAUUAUCAAAUUCCUUAAACUCAGAGUCAUCUCCAUAUACAGAAAUAGCACAAUCAUUGCAAGUAUCAAUAUCAGUCAUCAUUGCACUAAUAUCAACAUUGGCUUUAUAAUAGUUUUUAACUUUGCAAUCUUCUUCAGCCUUCUUCAUGGCAUCCACUGCAUCUUGAUACACCUCCUUGCAUGUCUCGAGACAAUCCGUGGCGUAAAUGUCUGUCUCUGGAUCCUCUAAACGUUGUUCAAUGACAGUCGAAAUGAAUUCUUCCGUCUUGGCCAUCGUAGCUUCCAUCACGGAGUUGAUAAAUAUGGAAACAUCCCCGUUUGAGGUGACAGGAGUACUCUUUUUUGAAAUUUCAAUGGUUUUUUUAUAGGCUGAGGAUGAGGAAAAGGAAGAGGACGAUUUAGAUGGAGAAAGGGGAGGUGCUUGGGAUUUAGGGAUUUUGUAUCCCUUAGGUGGGAGGGGUUUCUUAUAGGAUGAGGGCGAGGGCGAGUAUGGUUUGGAUGGAGGAGGUUCUUGGGAUUUAGGGACGUUGUAUCCCUUAGGUGGGAGGGUUUCUGUAUAGGGCGAGGACGAUGACGAUGACGAUUUAGAUGGAGAUAGGGGAGGUGCUUGGAAUCUUGGAAAAAAGAAUGUUGCCUUAGAUGGGAGGGUUGUAAAGAAUAGUGAAAUGGCAAAGACUAAAAAAAUUUGGUUAUAAAAUGCCAUUAUCUUUCUUUCUACUUUAAUAAUAGAAAGUAAGUUUGAAAGAAAGACAAUGGAAAAAAAGAAUGAUGUGAAAUAUGAUGAUUCAUUGGGGGUGUAUUUAUAUCUAAAAUGAGUUAUAGAUUUAUUGGCUAUGCUUAAAUAUAGAUUUUCAAGUGAAUAUCAACCUUCAUUUGACAAAUUUUUGUUCAUUUAUUAUAGAAUGAUAGAUUUUCUUGGCCCCACAAACUCAACCAUUCACACAUCAAAUUAAUUAAUGGUAUUCCUUACUUUCUUCCUAUCAAAAUAGUUAGCAUGUUUACUAAAAGUAUUUUUUUAAAAUACUUUCUCCGUCUCAAAUUGAGAUUCCAUAUUAAUUAAGAAAUAUAAUUCAUAAUAUGGUUAAUUUACCAUAAUACCUCUAUUAAAUAAUAUUUAUAUUUUAAUUUAAAUAAAAAGUAAUUAAUGCAAAAGAUAAAACAUGAAAAAAAAAUUGUCUCUUCUUAAUUAAUGAAAAAGGACAAGUAAAAUGCAAAAUUAAAUUAGAAAAUUUGGGACAGAUAAUUUGAAAUGGAGGCCAUAGUUAUCAGUUUAAAAGAUCAAGAGAUCAAGCAUUAAUUAAUUUUUUUCUCACUUUUACUUUUAACAUUAAUUAUUCUAAAAUAAAGAAGCAUGCAAAUUUAUAAAAAUUAAAAAAUUAAUAAGGAAUAUACUAGUCAAAUCAUGUUCCUAACUAAUUUUUUUCAUAAAAGUUGUGCAAAAUCUAAAUCUUUCAACUAUGUUAAAACGAAGGUACUAUAUGCAAAGACCAAGUGUACAUAAGCUUAACCUUAAAUAAACACUUCAUUAAGGACCCGUUUGGAAGGUUGUACUAAUUAAAUAAUCCUUGGACUAAAAUUUUAUCCAGGCAAUACAUUGUUCGAUAAUUUUUUUUAACUUAAUACAUGAAUUGCCUAUACACCAUAUGGAGUCUUAUUUUAUUCCUAGUAAAUGGAAGAAUAACUUAUCCAAGAUUUAACAAUUCAUGGAUAAGAUCUUAAAUAACCAAACUAUUCCUCAAUUUUUUUUCCUCUAUUUCUUUUAUAAUUUGAUGUCCUCUUUAGUUAUAUUUGAUUGAUUAUAAAAUAUAAAUAUCCUUUUUAAUUCUCCAAUCUGUUUUAAUAUAAUUUGAUGAUUUUUACAAAUUAAUGUUUGAUUUUUUUCUCCAUGUUUGAUUUAAUAUACUGGGAUUUUGUUGUUGUUUUUUUUUAUUUUUUUUAGGGGAGGAGGGGGGAGGGGCGUUGUUUUUUUUUUCUUUCAACAUAGUUCGUGGAUUGGUCACUUGAACCAUUUGUUCUUUUUUUAAAAAAAAAAAAUAAGCUUCAACCAUUUGAAUAUUUAUUUAGCCUUAAAUCUAUGGUAAGUUUAAGACAUAUUUGACUAAUUAAAAAAAAUAUUAGAAGUACAUCAUGCUAUCAAGGAUCUCCGUAGUGGCACAUUACACUUGAUAAUAGCAAGUUUUUAUUUAUAUUUUAAUGGUAAAAUGACCUUCUGGACCUUUGUACUAUGUUGGUUUUGUAAGUUGGAUACUUCUACUUACAUGUUUGUUAUCUGGAUCCCUGAAGCCACUAAAAAGCAACAUUUUAAACCCUUUUUUGGUGAGCGUAACACUCUCUCCCCACGUCAGCUGUCAAGUCUGCCUCAUCUGCCAUGUCAUUUAAAAAAAUAUAUAAAAAUAAAAAAUAAAAAAAAUCAUUACAUUAAAUUUCAAGUAAUUUUUAAAAUGCUAAAUAACAAAUUAAAUAUUAAAAUUAAUUUAAUUAAAUAAGAAAAAUUUAUAAUUGUAGAAAAAAUUGAAUAAUCAUAUUUUUAUUUUUGCUCACAAAUCAAACAUCAAAUUCAUUCCAAAUAAUUAAAAUUCUUCUCCAACUAAUUUAAAUUUUUAACUAUAAAUUCAUAUAUCCAAACAUAAUAAAUUUUCGAUUUUUAAAUUUGAAUAUCUUUAAAAAAUUCACAAAAANNNNNNNNNNNNNNNNNNNNNNNNNNNNNNNNNNNNNNNNNNNNNNNNNNNNNNNNNNNNNNNNNNNNNNNNNNNNNNNNNNNNNNNNNNNNNNNNNNNNNNNNNNNNNNNNNNNNNNNNNNNNNNNNNNNNNNNNNNNNNNNNNNNNNNNNNNNNNNNNNNNNNNNNNNNNNNNNNNNNNNNNNNNNNNNNNNNNNNNNNNNNNNNNNNNNNNNNNNNNNNNNNNNNNNNNNNNNNNNNNNNNNNNNNNNNNNNNNNNNNNNNNNNNNNNNNNNNNNNNNNNNNNNNNNNNNNNNNNNNNNNNNNNNNNNNNNNNNNNNNNNNNNNNNNNNNNGACUGGGUUGGGGAGGGAUUUUUUCAAAAAAAAUUUUAAAACUAUUUUUAAAUUUUUAAAAAUAUUUUUAACCUAUUUUUAAAUUUUUUAAAUUAAAAAAAUGGAGGAAAAAAAGGACUUUUUCUAUUUAUUUUUGUAAUUUAAUAUUUUUUUAAUUAUUUUAAUGUAAAAUUGGUCAAAAAUUGACCCCCAUUCGCAUUUUCAGGCGAGUGGCUACACUCUUUUUGUCCUAGUCUCCAUUUCAAUGCCACAUAGGCAAGGUCAACGGUCAAAGGGUGAAAAAUAUUAUUUUUUAAUGGGUUCAAGGGUUCAGAUGACAAACAUGUAAGUAGAUGUGUCCAACUUACAAAACCGACAUAGUACAAGAGUCCAGAAUGUCAUUUUGCCUAUUUUAAUUUUUAACUUGAUUAAUUUAAUGAAAUAGAAAAUCCCACAAAAAUUAAAGGAUAUAGUUGUAAAGGAAUUUUUUUUUAAUACAAUGAACCAAACACUUGAUAAAAAAUAAUUCAAAUACUAUAAUCUUAUAUUACUAAGUCAUGCAUUAGUAAUUCUUACAUUAUUAAUCUCUGUAUUAUUUGUCUUCAUACUAAACGGCCCCAAGUGUUAAUUACUUUGAGAAAGUAACAAAAAUUGGUCCCUUAAGUUUGUGUAAGUUUAAAAUAAUCCUUAAAAUAUUUAACUGAGCUAUUUUGAGUCUUUAAGUUUAUCAAAAAUUAGCACUUUCAAUCUUCAUCAAAUAUUUGAUAAAUUGUAUCUGUUAAAUUUGACCUGAUUUUUCUCUUUUGAUGGAUACUUUACAUUUCUCAUUAAUGAAAUUAAAACCUUCUCUCAAGGAAAUAAAUAAUAUUUUCUUAACAGUAAUUAAUUAAUAAGCUAUCAAAAACUAUAACAGAAAUGGAUAGCGGUUGUAAAAGCUCCUCUGAACUUUCAUCAACGGGCCUUUCGUAAUUUGAAGAAAAGAAAAGAAAUUUAUCGUGUAAAGAUCUUUCAUGUAUUUUUUGUAAUUUUUUUUUAUAAGAAUAUUAAAAAUUUCUCAUAAAAAGGACAUAAAAAUAUAAACAAAUCAUUAUAGAACUACAGAAUCUAUUGACCAAGUACUUGCAUAUUUUAGUUUAGGGAAAAUAGUCAAAUAUUUUAAUCAAACAUCCAGUCUAUUGUUAAUUCUACCGCACAUAUGAAUUUAAUUUGCCUUAUCGCGAUUGAUAUAAAAUAUAUUUAAAUUCGUGGCAUUUGAGAAAAGCAAACAAAUAAAUAAAUAACACAUUAAAAGAUCAAACACUAUCAUAUAGUGUUGCUUUAUUCCAAAUGGUGUAGAUUACAAGAUUUUAUCACCAAGUUCUUGAAAUAUUUGUGUCAAUUACCAUUGUUUGCCCUCUUAUCCAAUUAUAAAAUUUCCUAAAUUUAGAGUUAUCUCCAUAUAUAGAAAGAGCACGAUCAUUACAAGUAUCAAUAUAUGUUGUCAUUGCACUAAGAUCAACAUGGGUUGUAUUAUAGUAUUUUGCCUGACAUCUUAUUCAGUCUUCCUCAUUGCAUCCAUUGCAAGUCCAUACACCUCCUUGCAUGUCUUAAGACAUUAAUCCGUGGCGUACGUGUCCCUUUGAGGCGACAUGAGUCUUUUUUGAAAUUCCAAUGGUUUUCUUAAAGGACGAGGAUUUGGAAAAGGAAAAGGACAAUGAUGAGAAUGGGGUCGAUUUAGAUGGAGAAUGGGGAGGUGCUUAAAAUUUAGGGAUAUUGUAUCGCUUAGGUGGGAGGGGUUUCUUAUAGGACGAGGGUGUGGGCGAGGACGGUUUAGAUGGAGAAAGGGGAGGUGCUUGGGAUUUAGGGACAUUGUAUCCCUUAGGCGAGAGGGGUUUCUUAUAGGACGGGGGUAAGGGCGACGAUGGUUUAGAUGAAGAAAGAGAAGGUGCUUGGGAUUUAGGGACAUUGUAUCCCUUAGGUAGGUGGGUUUCCUAAUAGGAUGAGGGUGAGGUCGAGGAUGAGGAUGAGGACAAGAAUGAGGAUGAAAACGAGGACGAUUUAGAUGCUUGGAAUUUAGGAAUAAAGAAUGUUGCUUUAGAUGGAAGGGUUGUCAGGAAUAGAGAAAUGACAAGGACUAGAAAAACUUGGUUAUAAAAUGCCAUUGUCUUUCUUUUUAAUUUAAUAAUAGAGAGAAAGUUAAAAAGAAAGACAAUGGAAAAAAAAAAGAUGCACAAUAUGGAGAUUCAUUCGGGGUGUAUUUAUAUCUAAAAUGAGCUAUAGAUUUCUUG
Molecule: long non-coding RNA, 21966 nt
Filed under: Capsicum annuum
Lineage: Eukaryota; Viridiplantae; Streptophyta; Magnoliopsida; Solanales; Solanaceae
Description: long non-coding RNA (CANN_LNC021445)
Source: RNAcentral